CUGCAGACACUUAGUUGCUGAGGCGCUGGGAUCCUGUUCUGAGUCUUGAGGUUCUAAAAUUCAAAUCCUUUCAGUUACCUCCUGCUGCCUGCAUAUCGUGAUCACCCCAGCAAGUGGGCUUUGAAAGGGGAAGGAUGCCUGCAAUCUGGGCCAGAAAAAAAUUGCCAGGAGAGAAGCAUUGCUGCGGCUGAUUCAAGCGACUGACAGUUCCAUCAACGAACUUGUAAAACUCCUGACUCUUUAACCAGCGGCGUCCAGCCCACUCCUGGAUCGCCUUUCAGAUUGGACGGCAGGCUGCCACGCUGGUUACGACAAUUGCAAGAGCACCCUGGGCGUCCUUGGCCCUGCUGCUGCCCGAGUGCUACUUGACGAGCCCCGUCUGUGCAAUGGGUCUGGCCGGGCUGGGCUUCCUGGUCUCCAGCUCUGAGCUCUGCGCCUGUGGGAGGCCGAGACCCCAGCAUACAGCAGCUGGCAUCCUCCUGGCAGGACCCACUGGCAGUAGAAACUCGAGAAGGGAGCCAGCCCUGAGUGAGCCCCAUGGGCAGGGAUGCUGAGUGAGUAAGGCCAGCCAUCUGGCUGAGUGGCCUGUGAAUCUGUCUUUACUCCUUUCAUGCUGUGUGUUCCUGGGCAAGUUGCUUAACUGCUCUGAGCUUUAAUUCCCUCCUUUGUUAGGUGGCUGAUGUAGCUACUUCCCAUGGUCAUUGUAAGACCUUAAUAGGCUCUUAAAGUGCCUGGCAGUGGGUCAAUUUUUAAAAAUAUCAAUUUAUUGACCAAAUAUGUAUCAUUGUAACACUUGCUGGUUGGAACUCAGACCUGCAGCCUCUGUUUUUUUUUUUUUUUUUUUUUUUUUGCGGGCCCCACCUUGAGAAGGCAGGAGAAAUAGCCAGAGACCUACAGGUUUGGUUCCUGAAUUUUUUUUUUUUUUUUUUUUUUGGUUUGUCCAGAAUAGUUAAGACUCUGAAAGAUUAGUGAAGGUGCUGUGGGUAUUUCCCACACUCAUAGAGGAAAGUGGAUUUUCAGUUGACACAAUGAAAAUAAUUGGUCAGAAUAAAUUAGAUGAGUUUUACUUAAAGUUAUACCA
RNAcentral lists this long non-coding RNA (1081 nucleotides) under Sus scrofa (pig). Its description in RNAcentral is "lncRNA (ENSSSCG00025005564.1)". Lineage: Eukaryota; Metazoa; Chordata; Mammalia; Artiodactyla; Suidae. The record is from RNAcentral.